This 806-nucleotide ribosomal RNA is filed under the name Bifidobacterium bifidum. RNAcentral's name for it is "bacterial SSU rRNA". It matches the Rfam family "Bacterial small subunit ribosomal RNA", at positions 8 to 823 of the family's 1533-position model. The record is from RNAcentral. Lineage: Bacteria; Bacillati; Actinomycetota; Actinomycetes; Bifidobacteriales; Bifidobacteriaceae.
AGGGUUCGAUUCUGGCUCAGGAUGAACGCUGGCGGCGUGCUUAACACAUGCAAGUCGAACGGGAUCCAUCAAGCUUGCUUGGUGGUGAGAGUGGCGAACGGGUGAGUAAUGCGUGACCGACCUGCCCCAUGCUCCGGAAUAGCUCCUGGAAACGGGUGGUAAUGCCGGAUGUUCCACAUGAUCGCAUGUGAUUGUGGGAAAGAUUCUAUCGGCGUGGGAUGGGGUCGCGUCCUAUCAGCUUGUUGGUGAGGUAACGGCUCACCAAGGCUUCGACGGGUAGCCGGCCUGAGAGGGCGACCGGCCACAUUGGGACUGAGAUACGGCCCAGACUCCUACGGGAGGCAGCAGUGGGGAAUAUUGCACAAUGGGCGCAAGCCUGAUGCAGCGACGCCGCGUGAGGGAUGGAGGCCUUCGGGUUGUAAACCUCUUUUGUUUGGGAGCAAGCCUUCGGGUGAGUGUACCUUUCGAAUAAGCGCCGGCUAACUACGUGCCAGCAGCCGCGGUAAUACGUAGGGCGCAAGCGUUAUCCGGAUUUAUUGGGCGUAAAGGGCUCGUAGGCGGCUCGUCGCGUCCGGUGUGAAAGUCCAUCGCUUAACGGUGGAUCUGCGCCGGGUACGGGCGGGCUGGAGUGCGGUAGGGGAGACUGGAAUUCCCGGUGUAACGGUGGAAUGUGUAGAUAUCGGGAAGAACACCGAUGGCGAAGGCAGGUCUCUGGGCCGUCACUGACGCUGAGGAGCGAAAGCGUGGGGAGCGAACAGGAUUAGAUACCCUGGUAGUCCACGCCGUAAACGGUGGACGCUGGAUGU